UAUUGCUCAAUGGGGGAAACCCUGAUGCAGCGACGCCGCGUGAGCGAAGAAGUAUUUCGGUAUGUAAAGCUCUAUCAGCCGGGAAGAANAUGACGGUACCUGACUAAUAACCUCCGGCUAAAUACGUGCCAUCAGCCGCGGUAAUACGUAUGGAGCAAGCGUUAUCCGGAUUUACUGGGUGUAAAGGGAGCGUAGGCGGCCUGGCAAGUCUGGUGUGAAAUACCGGGGCCCAACCCCGGGACUGCAUUGGAAACUGCCAGGCUGGAGUGUCGGAGGGGCAGGCGGAAUUCCUAGUGUAGCGGUGAAAUGCAUAGAUAUUAGGAGGAACACCGGUGGCGAAGGCGGCCUGCUGGACGACAACUGACGCUGAGGCUCGAAAGCGUGGGGAGCAAACAGG
This 397-nucleotide ribosomal RNA is filed under the name uncultured bacterium. RNAcentral describes it as "bacterial SSU rRNA". It matches the Rfam family "Bacterial small subunit ribosomal RNA", at positions 362 to 776 of the family's 1533-position model. The record is from RNAcentral.